This 321-nucleotide unclassified non-coding RNA is filed under the name uncultured fungus. Its description in RNAcentral is "partial contains 5.8S ribosomal RNA and internal transcribed spacer 2". The stretch from base 1 to 133 matches the Rfam family "5.8S ribosomal RNA", at positions 22 to 154 of the family's 154-position model. Lineage: Eukaryota; Fungi. The record is from RNAcentral.
UGGUUCUGGCAUCGAUGAAGAACGCAGCGAAAUGCGAUAAGUAAUGUGAAUUGCAGAAUUCAGUGAAUCAUCGAAUCUUUGAACGCACAUUGCGCCCAUUAGUAUUCUAGUGGGCAUGCCUGUUCGAGCGUCAUUUCAACCUCUAAGCACAGCUUACUGUUGGGAAUCUACGUCUGUAGUUCCUCAAAGACAUUGGCGGAGCGGCAGUAGUCCUCUGAGCGUAGUAAUUUUUUAUCUCGCUUCUGUUAGGCGCUGUCGUCCCGGCCGUUAAACCCCCAAUUUUUUCUGGUUGACCUCGGAUCAGGUAGGAAUACCCGCUGA